CAGGAGAGGGCUGGACCGGCACGUCUGCGUCUGCGUUCCAUCGGUGGCUUCAUCCCGCAUCUGGAAGCUUCUGGAAAACCCCAGUGAGGCAGGUUGAUAACGUGUAUUAUGUGAAGGCAAAACUAAUCUUUGGUAAGAAAAAUCAGAACAGUAGUUGCCCCUGGCAUGGGAACAGAGACUGGCUGGGAAGAGACCUUCGGGAAGUUUUGGAGGAUGCUGAAGUAAAUACUGAACUGCAAUUAAUGACGGCACACUGGGGUCUCAGAGCAGCUGUGCUGAUGUCUGCGACUUCAGUGGAUCAAUGGAAUAAGCAGCUUCCUCUCCUGGCUAUGAUAGAAGCGCUUAUAUCAGACCGACUAAAUCACUGAGAACAAGUGGGAAAGAUGGAAAAAAUACACAAAGCAGCUGUUGAAAGCACAGGAGAGAACCCAGGACAUGAGGUGUCUGGAGGCUGGUGAGAGGGGAACUUCAGCCAAGUGGCCACAUAUGCCUCUGCUUUUCCCCAUGGCACCUGCCCUUUUCUUAGUGGCAGAGAGAAUAAGAUAUCAAGGGACAGGCAGGAAGCAGCUGCUGGAAAUAUUAGCAGGUAGUAAUCAAAGUACAGCUAGGUGUUUCUGCACUUCCAUGGGGCUGGAGAGACCAAGACUGGAAGUUACCAAAGCAGCCAGAGCUCGCAGGGCACACAUUCUAGAGAAAAGGGCACCUUGGAGAAGCAAGCCUGAUAUUCUGUAAUUUUUCCCCUUGAAAUAUCUGCCAAUUAUUAAACUGCUUGGAGCAAGAAGGCAAGAAACCAAGCAGAAAGCAUCAAAUAGGAGCCUUAAAAGCGAAGCAGAGCUUCGGGUAGUUUUGCCUUAUCGAUAGAUGAAAGUUUGGUUUCAGAAGCUAUCAAGAAGGAAUGGGGUAAGACAGCAAGGUUUUCUAUUGAGCUGCGUAAAGGCUAAAUCCUAGGAGACAGUGAGGCCAGGAAGACAGACUCCUGGUGAGGAAUAAAAUCUGCCUCCUGUCAUGUCAACUCCUGACUGGAUCUGUGUUACCCACCCCCAUCCCGACUGCUGACAGAGGACAAAUCAGUUACCUCGCAGGAAGAUAACAUUGUUCACACCUGUUUUAUACUUGAUAUCCGGCAUUCAGUCAGACAUUACCAAGGAAUCCAUACAAAUAUGUAAAGGUGUAAUCAUUUAUAGUGUAUGAAAUAUAUUAGAAGUUUAUCUUUAAGGUAUCAAAUCCAAAGCAAGCACAAGGAAGGACAUAAUAAAAGAAAAUAAGAGCAGAGGUCCGUGAGAUGAGAAA
Rhinolophus ferrumequinum (greater horseshoe bat) is the source of this 1290-nucleotide long non-coding RNA. RefSeq lists it as uncharacterized. Lineage: Eukaryota; Metazoa; Chordata; Mammalia; Chiroptera; Rhinolophidae. The transcript is spliced from 3 exons. The record is from RefSeq and is a predicted model, not a curated record.